Molecule: ribosomal RNA, 307 nt
Filed under: Streptomyces humidus
Lineage: Bacteria; Bacillati; Actinomycetota; Actinomycetes; Kitasatosporales; Streptomycetaceae
Description: bacterial SSU rRNA
Rfam family: Bacterial small subunit ribosomal RNA
Source: RNAcentral
GCUCUAACAUGCAGUGACGAUGAACCACUUCGGUGGGGAUUAGUGGCGAACGGGUGAGUAACACGUGGGCAAUCUGCCCUGCACUCUGGGACAAGCCCUGGAAACGGGGUCUAAUACCGGAUACUGACCCGCCUGGGCAUCCAGGCGGUUCGAAAGCUCCGGCGGUGCAGGAUGAGCCCGCGGCCUAUCAGCUUGUUGGUGAGGUAACGGCUCACCAAGGCGACGACGGGUAGCCGGCCUGAGAGGGCGACCGGCCACACUGGGACUGAGACACGGCCCAGACUCCUACGGAAGGCAGCAGACUNNU